CUGGACUUUCUUGGCCAGACCGUGACAGUGUGGAGUGCAAUGGAUGCAUGAAUUCACGUGGGCCAUGAGCUGCUGGAUGCAUUGUUGAUGGGCUGCUGCACGUGUUUCUCUGGGCCGUGACAUGUGAUGGAGCUUCCGUUGAAGAGCUGCAGGAUGCACCCCCCAAAGGUCCAUUUCCAUGUGCUUCUAAAUCCAACCAAUCACCGUGCAAGCUGCUGCUAGCGUUGCUUUCUCACAUGUUGUUGUGUGCACCGCUGCAGCCUUCUGUAAUUUGACUCCGUGUGUUUCAUUUCAGCCCAAGUGGAUGAAAGCACUGGACGUGAUUCUGCCAGAUUCCAAGACUCCUGCUGGGCCGUGUGAUUUUCUUUUUCUCAGCCCAAUGAGCCAGCUCCAAGUUGAGUCAAUUACCGUGGGCACCUCUCCAAUUGCUGCUGAACGUGUUUAUUUUGUAUAUGUUGGGUGCUAACGUGCAGCCUUUUGUAUGCAGCCUGUGACCAUUCCUUUUUAAAUGUGCAACAUUUUUUCUUUCACUCGCUACCCGUGAACUUCUCAUCAAAUACUUAUUUCCUAUGUGCCUUUUAGCCAAGCCAACUACCAGGUGCACCCCCAAAAAUAAAUUCACACCUCCUUUUCAUAAGCCCAAGGAAUAAAAUGACCAUGGUGCCCUCCUUCUUGAACACACUUGUUUUGUGGAGAGUCUUGAAUUGUGUGACAACUCUCAAUAUGUCCCAAAUUAUAUUUCCAAAAUUUUCCCUAAAAAUAAUAAUGUAAAUAAUUAGCUCAGAAAAUUCAAAUUAAUUAAAAUUUGAAUUUCCGGUCAAAAUAAGCACAAUUAGCAGAAACGGGAAAAUACCGGACAAUUAAACACAAUUCCUUGAUUAAUUUCGGUACAAUAAACUAAGUGAAGUCAAUAAAAUAUCGACUCAUCAAUAUGCACUGUUUGUACUUCUAGUGGCCACUACACUGAUGCUUGUCCUACCUUGCAGCACUCAGCUGCCUUUGAUGCGCCUGAGGCUUAUGCUACUAACAUCUUCA
Molecule: long non-coding RNA, 1035 nt
Filed under: Vigna radiata
Lineage: Eukaryota; Viridiplantae; Streptophyta; Magnoliopsida; Fabales; Fabaceae
Description: long non-coding RNA (VRAD_LNC008030)
Source: RNAcentral